AAAAAGAAAAAAGAAAUACGGAACUUUUUUCUCUCCCAGUUCCUGGGGCCAGAACUCCCAAGUGUGGCGGCAGGGCUGUGCUUUCUCUCCCAAGGCUCUGCGAAGGGAUCCUUCCUUGCCUUUUCCAGCUUCGGGCAGCUCCAGGAGUUCCUUGCCUGCAUAAUCUCUGCCUCCAUCUUCUCAUGGGCUUCUCCUCUGUGUCUGUCUUCUCUUCGGCCCCGUAUAAAUUCCCUUGGCAUUGGAUGUAGGGUUCACCCAGGAAAUCCAGGAUGAUCUCAUCUUGAGAUUCUUAAUCACAUCCGCAAAGACGCUUUUUCCCAACGAGGUCACAUUCACAGGUUCCUGGGUUAGGGUAUGCUCCUAUUGGGGGGGGGGGGGAGCUGCACAAUUCAGCCACUACAAUAUGGGUAUGAAUAGAUAAUUCCAACACUGUGUGAUUAAGUGCUAGGCUAGGGUAUGUACAGAGGGUUACGGCGGGCACAGAUGAUACUUAGAAGGAGGCUCUAAUUCAGUCUGAGGGGUUCGGGGGAGACUUUUUGAGUGAAGUGACAUGUACGGUGAAACCCGAAGACUGCCAGGGGCAGGAAGGUGGGCUGGGGGAGCUUUAUGGGUGAGAAACAAAGUAUGCUGAGUUUCGAUAACUGAGAGACGUUUAACGUGCCUAGUCAAUGUGAGACGAGGAAAAGCGGAAAAGACUACAAAGGUAAACAGGGCCCAGAAUGUGACUGUCCUUGAAAACCUUGUCUAGAAUAUUGGGAUUUUAAAGCUACGGCGGUGGGGGCGGUGGUCAGGGGGACGGUUUUCCGUUGGGUAAAGAUAAUUUGGAGGGCCGUACGGAGGGUGGAUUUGUGGGGCUUAGGACUGGAGCCAAAGAAAUCAGGAUGAUGUUGCAGUAAUUUGAGCAAGAGAUGGUGAGGGGAUUAAGGGGAUUGGGAUGAGAAAUACUGAGGAUGCAGAAUUAUUUUCAUAACUAUUGUUAGUCACAGCUGAACUCGCGAGUGCAUUUCUACAGUGUUUCCAAAGUGAAGUGGGAUUCCAAAGGUCUCAACUUUUCAUCUGCGCUUUCUUUUUGGAACUAUGACUAGCCCAGCAGAGAAAGAGGAAAAAAAAAGAGAGAGAAAGGGAGGGGUAACAAUAGGGAUCCGGCAACAGUUUUUGAUAAACACUUUGAAUUUCUGAAACACAUCUUUGACAAAUGGGUUGAUUUCCUUUAGCUCUUAGAGCCGUGGGCACACUUUAAUUUGCAUUGCUUCAAAGUAAAUUUGGCUUUUCCAUCUCCUUCCUAAGUGAAAGGGUGGGACUGUACAUCUGGGGGGGGGUGUCUAUUGCUUAUGACUCACUCUUAAUGAUACGCACCUGUUUGGUUCUUGGGUCUCAAAAAGUUACACGAGAAGCAGGUCAGGAAUGCAGAAGGGUGUUAUCAAGUGGCAGUGGCAUUCCGUGCAGAAAGAACGGAGGCGGCAGCAGUUAAGAGAAGAGUGAAGUAUUCCAUUAUACAGAUGAAAAAACCAAAGCACAGAGAAAACCAGUAACAUACAAGACUACAAAGCUACAGUCUCUUACUCUAUUUUUCCUGUCAUUUCCCCUCCACUCCACUCCUGACUUCCUCAGAAUGACAUGAACCAGAAAAGCUGGAGGAUUUCUGAACCAGUGGCCUCCCAACAUUCUCAGUCAUAUGCUCCUCAAAUCCCUUAUAACCAAAAAAGAGAGCCUUUGCUCUGAACUUGUUUCUGCUGCGAUUUUUCAUGCAAUAGGAAAUAUCUUAGAGUUAAAUUUGAUAUCAAGAGCUUGGCUGCUAUUUUUUUUUUUUUUGAAUGGCAAAACAACAUUUCUGUUCACCAAGGGACAUGGAUUAUAAAGCUUUAUCAUCAGCAUGGUGAGAUGUGUCUUUGCUUUAAGUGGCCACUUUCUAUUUUUAGCUUUGCUAUCAUUUCUAAGAACCCUCUAACGGUAGACACAGUAAUCGCUCACUGUAAAUAAGAGAUAUGGCUACAUCGACACAGGUGCUUAGAUUGCUAGGUGACAACAGGAGACUGAGAUGGCAUUCAUUCAAAUAAGUAUGAUUUCCAUGGAAAUCAGGAACAUGAAAUCAUUGGGAAUUUAGCUACUUCUGUUACGUCAUAUCCUGGCAGGGGUUGCCGCCUCUGAUGUCAACUUUCCCGUCUGUAUUUAAUAUGUACAAUUCUCUUUUUUUUUUUAAUUUUUUUUUCAACAUUUAUUUAUUUUUGGGACAGAGAGAGACAGAGCAUGAACGGGGGAGGGGCAGAGAGAGAGGGAGACACAGAAU
This is a long non-coding RNA of Felis catus (domestic cat), 2287 nucleotides long. RefSeq lists it as uncharacterized. The record is from RefSeq and is a predicted model, not a curated record. The transcript is spliced from 4 exons. Lineage: Eukaryota; Metazoa; Chordata; Mammalia; Carnivora; Felidae.